UGUCCGUCUGGAAAAGUUGCUUACAAUAAGAGAGCAGACUACAUUCUUUCUUUGAAUAUACCACUUCAUGAAGCGACAAAUAAAGAGCAGGUUGAAGAAUUUAACAAGCUGAAGGCAACAAUGAAAUUGGAAGGCAAAGAAGUAGCUAAUGAUGAAGUUGUACGGCCAAGAGUGCCUCUAGAAGCAUGUCUAGCAAGCUUUUUAGCUCCUGAGGAGGUGCAUGAUUUUUACAGUACAGCACUAAAUUCCAAGACCACAGC
Molecule: long non-coding RNA, 260 nt
Organism: Asparagus officinalis (garden asparagus)
Lineage: Eukaryota; Viridiplantae; Streptophyta; Magnoliopsida; Asparagales; Asparagaceae
Exons: 3
Source: RefSeq, a predicted model, not a curated record